This 733-nucleotide ribosomal RNA is filed under the name uncultured bacterium. RNAcentral's name for it is "bacterial SSU rRNA". It matches the Rfam family "Bacterial small subunit ribosomal RNA", at positions 691 to 1421 of the family's 1533-position model. The record is from RNAcentral.
UAGAGAUCAAGAAGAAUACCCAUUGCGAAAGCGNUCUGCUGGAACUUAACUGACGCUAAUGCGUGAAAGCGUGGGGAGCAAACAGGAUUAGAUACCCUGGUAGUNCACGCCCUAAACGAUGUAUACUAGUUGUUGCUUCGCUAGUCGAGGCAGUAAUGCACCUAACGGAUUAAGUAUACCGCCUGGGGAGUACGGUCGCAGGAUUAAAACUCAAAGGAAUAGACGGGGACCCGCACAAGCGGUGGAGCAUGUGGUUUAAUUCGAAGAUACGCGAAGAACCUUACCCGGACUUGAUAUCUAACAAAUCAUCCAGAGAUGGAAGAGUGUCUGCUUGCAGAAAUGUUAAGACAGGUGCUGCACGGCUGUCGUCAGCUCGUGUCGUGAGAUGUUGGGUUAAGUCCCGCAACGAGCGCAACCCACGUCAUUAGUUGCUAACGGUUCGGCCGAGCACUCUAAUGAGACUGCCUUCGCAAGGAGGAGGAAGGUGUGGACGACGUCAAGUCAUCAUGGCCCUUAUGUCCGGGGCGACACACGUGCUACAAUGGCGUAUACAAUGAGACGCAAUAUCGCGAGAUGGAGCAAAUCUAUAAAAUACGUCCCAGUUCGGAUUGGAGUCUGCAACUCGACUCCAUGAAGCCGGAAUCGCUAGUAAUCGUAGAUCAGCCAUGCUACGGUGAAUACGUUCCCGGGUCUUGUACUCACCGCCCGUCACACCAUGGGAGUUGAUUUCACU